This 448-nucleotide long non-coding RNA is filed under the name Homo sapiens (human). RNAcentral's name for it is "SBNO1 antisense RNA 1, transcript variant 2 (SBNO1-AS1)". Lineage: Eukaryota; Metazoa; Chordata; Mammalia; Primates; Hominidae. The record is from RNAcentral.
ACCCGCCUCUCUGCGCCCCUCUCCGCCCCGCCUCCCUCCUAGGUGAAGGAAGAUGAUUUCCCCCCCAUCUUGACCACCCCCCAGUCUUCGCCGCCAAAAACGGACUCCGCCGGCUAUCCUCGGCCCGGUACCAGUUGUUGGAUCCAAGAGAAUUCCGGAACCCAAACGGCUCGCUCAAAGCACUUUAUUGGCAGUGAAACCGCAAGUAACCCGGAGCCCUCGGCGCGACCACGGCUAGAAUCAGAGCCUAAGGCGUGUGAGCUCAGCCAUCCCACGUCUGUCUUCACGCUCAUACGCAAGCCCGACACACCGGGGCUCCCACUUAAUGAAUACUGAAGAGUAGGGCUGUCCCUACCGCUUCUCACUUCCUUGUUUUCAUCUUUUCGUUAUUAUUAAGCGACCUAACACAAUAAACAUAUUACCUUGUUGGUAACCCUUUUGUAAAGUC